This is a long non-coding RNA of Pseudopipra pipra, 851 nucleotides long. RefSeq lists it as uncharacterized. The transcript has 4 exons. The record is from RefSeq and is a predicted model, not a curated record. NCBI's taxonomy places the organism in Eukaryota, Metazoa, Chordata, Aves, Passeriformes, Pipridae.
AGUAAAUGUGAAAGCAGAGGCAUGAUUAUGUCCAAAUGAAAAAAAAACAACAACUCUAUUUUUCAAGCAGUUUACAUUUGAAGCUAUGCAGCAGAAGGAGCUCUGACUGAGGAAAUACACAAAAUAGAAAAGCUGUCGCUUCCUCAAAUAUUUUUCUUUCAUCUUAAUUUCACAGAAGAAACUACAUAUGAUUAAGCUAACAGGUCUGUGACACUAAGUUAGCUCUGUGGACCAGCUCAUGGUGAGAUACUCAGAAUCAGACUGCAUUUCCAUUCACCUCUUUUUGGUGAUGAAGCUGAUUUAAGAAGCCUGUGAUGCAAUGCCAUCAUCCCACCCAUUAGUUACAGUUUGCCACCAGUCCAGUUUUCCAAUUGAUACCUAUUACUACCGUGAACAUAUAUAAAGUUGUCGGCAACAGUUUCAUUAGAGAAAUGAACACUGCAGACAUGCAAGCUUCCUGGGAGACUCUCUGAUGAAAGGAUAAAUAAAUUGAACAGAAAGACGCAGCAAGGAUCUGAGGAAUAGUCAUGAGUGGAAGACCCACAGUAACACAAUCAGUGAAAACCUAAUCAGUGAAAAUUAGAGCACACUGAAUCAGCUGCCUCCACAGCUAUCAAGAGAAAAUUAUUGUCCCUGGUGUGAAUCCCACUGAGAUGAGUCAACAGCAGAAACUCUCUCCCUCUCAGAGGUCUUCAGACUAAAAGGAGAUUAUUGCCUCCAAGUGUUGGAAUCCGAAACUCAACUGUCAGCAGAAAAGGAACUGAUAGGAUUAUGUAGCAGGCCAUGGACAGCAGGAGCUGGGAGAAACUCCUUACUCUGAGAAGCUUCAUCACAAGACCCAUUAAUAUUUA